UGGGGAAUAUUGCACAAUGGGGGGAACCCUGAUGCAGCCAUGCCGCGUGAAUGAAGAAGGCCUUCGGGUUGUAAAGUUCUUUCGGUGACGAGGAAGGUUGGUAGGUUAAUAGCCUAUCAAAUUGACGUUAAUCACAGAAGAAGCACCGGCUAACUCCGUGCCAGCAGCCGCGGUAAUACGGGGGGUGCGAGCGUUAAUCGGAAUAACUGGGCGUAAAGGGCACGCAGGCGGUGACUUAAGUGAGAUGUGAAAGCCCCGAGCUUAACUUGGGAAUUGCAUUUCAUACUGGGUCGCUAGAGUACUUUAGGGAGGGGUAGAAUUCCACGUGUAGCGGUGAAAUGCGUAGAGAUGUGGAGGAAUACCGAAGGCGAAAGCAGCCCCUUGGGAAUGUACUGACGCUCAUGUGCGAAAGCGUGGGGAGCAAACAGGAUUAGAUACCCUGGUAGUCCACGCUGUAAACGAUGUCGAUUUGGGGAUUGGGCUUUGAGCUUGGUGCCCGUAGCUAACGUGAUAAAUCGACCGCCUGGGGAGUACGGCCGCAAGGUUA
Molecule: ribosomal RNA, 547 nt
Filed under: uncultured bacterium
Lineage: Bacteria
Description: bacterial SSU rRNA
Rfam family: Bacterial small subunit ribosomal RNA
Source: RNAcentral